UGGGGAAUAUUGCACAAUGGGCGCAAGCCUGAUGCAGCGACGCCGCGUGCGGGAUGGAGGCCUUCGGGUUGUAAACCGCUUUUGUUCAAGGGCAAGGCACGGUCUUUGGCCGUGUUGAGUGGAUUGUUCGAAUAAGCACCGGCUAACUACGUCGCC
Molecule: ribosomal RNA, 156 nt
Filed under: uncultured bacterium
Lineage: Bacteria
Description: partial 16S ribosomal RNA
Rfam family: Bacterial small subunit ribosomal RNA
Source: RNAcentral